RNAcentral lists this ribosomal RNA (427 nucleotides) under uncultured prokaryote. RNAcentral describes it as "bacterial SSU rRNA". It matches the Rfam family "Bacterial small subunit ribosomal RNA", at positions 355 to 774 of the family's 1533-position model. The record is from RNAcentral.
UGGGGAAUUUUGGACAAUGGGCGCAAGCCUGAUCCAGCCAUGCCGCGUGCGGGACGAAGGCCUUCGGGUUGUAAACCGCUUUCAGCCGGAAAGAAAUCGCUGUUUUUAAUACAGACAGUGGAUGACGGUACCGGAAGAAGAAGCACCGGCUAACUACGUGCCAGCAGCCGCGGUAAUACGUAGGGUGCGAGCGUUAAUCGGAAUUACUGGGCGUAAAGCGUGCGCAGGCGGUUUUGUAAGCCAGACGUGAAAUCCCCGGGCUUAACCUGGGAACUGCGUUUGGAACUGCAAGACUAGAGUGUGUCAGAGGGAGGUGGAAUUCCACGUGUAGCAGUGAAAUGCGUAGAUAUGUGGAGGAACACCGAUGGCGAAGGCAGCCUCCUGGGAUAACACUGACGCUCAUGCACGAAAGCGUGGGGAGCAAACA